AACGAACGCUGGCGGCAUGCCUAACACAUGCAAGUCGAACGAGACCUUCGGGUCUAGUGGCGCACGGGUGCGUAACGCGUGGGAACCUGCCCUUAGGUUCGGAAUAACUCCCCGAAAGGGGUGCUAAUACCGGAUAAUGUCUUCGGACCAAAGAUUUAUCGCCUUUGGAUGGGCCCGCGUUGGAUAGCUAGUUGGUAGGGUAAAAGCCUACCAAGGCGACGAUCCAUAGCUGGUCUGAGAGGAUGAUCAGCCACACUGGGACUGAGACACGGCCCAGACUCCUACGGGAGGCAGCAGUGGGGAAUAUUGGACAAUGGGCGAAAGCCUGAUCCAGCAAUGCCGCGUGAGUGAUGAAGGCCUUAGGGUUGUAAAGCUCUUUUACCCGGGAUGAUAAUGACAGUACCGGGAGAAUAAGCUCCGGCUAACUCCGUG
This 432-nucleotide ribosomal RNA is filed under the name uncultured bacterium. RNAcentral describes it as "partial 16S ribosomal RNA". It matches the Rfam family "Bacterial small subunit ribosomal RNA", at positions 29 to 507 of the family's 1533-position model. The record is from RNAcentral.